Molecule: non-coding RNA, 27 nt
Filed under: Mus musculus (house mouse)
Lineage: Eukaryota; Metazoa; Chordata; Mammalia; Rodentia; Muridae
Source: RNAcentral
AGGCUUGACGGUGCUUAUGCUUAGACA